Acanthaster planci (crown-of-thorns starfish) is the source of this 1113-nucleotide long non-coding RNA. The record is from RefSeq and is a predicted model, not a curated record. NCBI's taxonomy places the organism in Eukaryota, Metazoa, Echinodermata, Asteroidea, Valvatida, Acanthasteridae.
AUUUGGCUUCAGGAAGUCCAAUUGCCGCGUCUUCAGCAAGUCUGACCAAAACAAGUUCAAGCACAUGCCCGCUAGUGUCCUGCAUUUCUUAUCCUGCGUGCCCCGAAGAUUCCCUCGAUUUCUGUUUGCUUCCUCCAUAUUCAUCAUGUAUUUCUUGUAAUCGUGAUCUGAGCCACAAUCAUGAUGCCAUCAAAGUGACUGUAGUUACCUUGACUGGUUCAAAGAAUGGCAGAAAAACAACCCUAAGAUGUCGCCAUUGCAGCCUAACAUACCGUUAUGAUUGUUACGGUAACCCAACAGUCGGCUACAAGCUGUAUAAGAAAAGCAGGCAGUUUGUGAAGGCAAGCAAUACCUUCUAUGUUGAACGGCAAUUGUUCGAGCUGCAGUGUAGCCUGGCAAACCAUGCUUGGGUCAGUUUCGUUGGAUUUGCAGAAUCGUAUAAUGACACAUUCAACCUAACUCGACACACAGGCCUCAACUACAAGCAAGUGUCCUCUGCAUUUUUCAGUGGUGAACUGGAAAAUGAACUUCGUGCAUUAACCGUUUAGACAUGUUUAACCUCAUGAGAGUGGACAGUGACCAAGAAAAAGUUCUGGUGGAAGUAGAGAAGCUGAGGAGGAAACAGCCCUAUCCGCAUGAGAACUGCCACCCAGCCUGCCAAGCCAAAGGUUGUGGACGUGUUUUUGCAGUGGAUGGAAUUUGGAAGUUGAGAUUUCCUCAUUGCAUGUAUAAAGUCAAGAGUGUGGUCUCAAAAAUAGAGAUCCCAGGUCUCCCCGAUGUCUGCACUAAUGUUCCACUUCGUGGCAAAGCCUUUUGCCAAGCACAUUGUACAGUGGCAGAAAAGUCUGACAUCCCCACUGGAAUCCGUGAAUUCCUAAAGCACUGUGGUGUGCAAGUUGCUGACACCAUUAAAUCAGAUACUGGAGAAGGCAGAACUCGGACACAUUUAGAUGUUGAAGACAGAGGUAUGCAAUUUUUACUUUUCCUUUUUUAUUUGUUGUUUUGGUUCACUUCAUAAUGCAAUCGUGCUUGUUUUUACCACCUCACUGUUAUGAAAUGAUUUGUUUAUUUGGCCAUUGUAUAAACAAUUUAAGCAGUUUCCUUUCAGUGCAU